UAGGGAAUUUUCGGCAAUGGGCGAAAGCCUGACCGAGCGACGCCGCGUGGGGGAUGAAGGCCUUCGGGUCGUAAACCCCUGUCCUUGGGGACGAAGUGCUGACGGUACCCAAGGAGGAAGCCCCGGCUAACUACGUG
This 137-nucleotide ribosomal RNA is filed under the name uncultured bacterium. Its description in RNAcentral is "partial 16S rRNA". It matches the Rfam family "Bacterial small subunit ribosomal RNA", at positions 355 to 507 of the family's 1533-position model. The record is from RNAcentral.